UAAACUAGGAUUAGAUACCCUAUUAUUUUAAAUGUAAAUAAAAUUUACUAAAUUAGUAUUAGGUAUGUUCUUGAAAAUUAAAAAAUUUGGCGGUAUUUUAGUCUUUUCAGAGGAAUCUGCCCUGUAAUUGAUAGUCCACGAUUUAAAUUACUUUAUUUUUAUUGUUUACAUAUCGUCGUAGAUUAAAUAUUUUAAUAGAAUAUUAAUAUUUGAGAUUUUUAAUUAAAAAAUAAAUCAGAUCAAGGUGUAGUUUAUGGUAAAGGAGAGGUGGAUUACAUUUAAUUUAUUAAGGAAUAAUUUUUUUAAAAAAAAUUUGAAUUUGGAUUUGAAAGUAAUUUUAAAAAUUUUUUAAAAUGAUUUUAGCUCUAAAAUAUGUACACAUCGCCCGUCGCUCUUAA
RNAcentral lists this ribosomal RNA (398 nucleotides) under Bruchidius hiekei. RNAcentral's name for it is "partial 12S ribosomal RNA". Lineage: Eukaryota; Metazoa; Arthropoda; Insecta; Coleoptera; Chrysomelidae. The record is from RNAcentral.